This 684-nucleotide ribosomal RNA is filed under the name Triticum aestivum (bread wheat). RNAcentral describes it as "partial small subunit ribosomal RNA". The record is from RNAcentral. Lineage: Eukaryota; Viridiplantae; Streptophyta; Magnoliopsida; Poales; Poaceae.
AUGAGAGCUUUAUUCUGGAAUAUUCGUGGUUUCGGUGCUAAGGGGCGCCGUGACCAGAUUCAUGACUUGGUUUGUGGUGAACAUAUUGACAUUUUAGGGCUGGUCGAAACGUUUAAGGAAUCCUUUUCCCCUUCUGAACUCUCUGCGAUAGCUGGGAUGGAUAGGUUUGAUUGGCACUUUCUCCCCGCCUCGGGUCAUUCCGGGGGAAUCUUGAUUGGGUCCAAGCGGGACGUUUUUUAUUUCAUUGCUUUUGAUCAUGGCAUCUUUUGGGCUAGCUGUGUGGUUCAUCAUCGUCAGCUGAACACUUCGUGGGAAUUUAUGGUGGUAUAUGGCCCUGCGGAUCACACGCUUGCUCCUCUCUUUUUGGACGAAAUAUCGAUUAAGAUCGAAGCAUGUAAUAUUCCUCUGCUAAUUGGGGGUGAUUUCAAUUUGUUACGUUCUCCGACCGACAAGAAUAAUCCUAAUUUCUUCUGGCCUCUUGCCAAUGCUUUUAAUGAUUUCAUUAGUAACUGCGCGCUGCGUGAGCUCACUAGGGUGGGGGCGCGUUUCACCUGGUCUAACCAUCAAUCCUCGCCUGUCCGGUCGGUGUUGGACAGGGUUUUUGUUUCUGUUCAGUGGGACUCGCUGUUUCCCGCGCGCUGCUUAAGGCUAGGCCUGCGGUGGGCUCUGAUCAUGUUCCCCUGA